Macrobrachium nipponense is the source of this 605-nucleotide long non-coding RNA. RefSeq lists it as uncharacterized. The transcript is spliced from 4 exons. Lineage: Eukaryota; Metazoa; Arthropoda; Malacostraca; Decapoda; Palaemonidae. The record is from RefSeq and is a predicted model, not a curated record.
GCCUGCGAGACGGAGAAGGAAGGUCUGCUCUUGCAGAUCCGGAGCCUGGAAGACAAACUCCAGGAGACGAUGCCAGAGACCCAGCGCCUGACCCAGAGAAGGAGGAGCUCAAGUUAACCGUCGAGAAGCUGAGAGACCUCAGUGAGCAGUUUAAGACCGAGCUUCUCAGCUUGAGGGGGAGGUCGCCAAGCAUAAGGAGCGCAUAGAUCAGCUUAUCAAGAAUGUGAGGCCCGCUGACUGCGCUGAUGUUCAAAUACAGGGACAUACAGAGAGCGGUGUCUAUACUUUGUACCCUGACAGAACACUAGAGACCAAAGACGUGUACUGUGACCUUGAAACGGAGGAAGGAGGUUGGACCGUCUUCCUGAAACGCCAACUGCAGCCGGAACCCGUCGACUUCAACGAGUCUUGGGAGAACUUCAAGAACGGAUUCGGCAGCGCCGCUGGCGCCGAGUAUUGGCUCGGAAAUGACGUCAUCCACUCGCUGACGUCACAAGGUCCUUCCACAUGCGAGUCGAAGCCGAGAGCUUUGCGGGAGAGAAGCGUUGGGCCGAGUGGAACUGUUUAACGUGGCCGAUGAAGCGAACAGUGUACGACUCUUAGGG